GACGAACGCUGGCGGCGUGCUUAACACAUGCAAGUCGAACGGAAAGGCCCUGCUUUUGUGGGGUGCUCGAGUGGCGAACGGGUGAGUAACACGUGAGUAACCUGCCCUUGACUUUGGGAUAACUUCAGGAAACUGGGGCUAAUACCGGAUAGGAGCUCCUGCUGCAUGGUGGGGGUUGGAAAGUUUCGGCGGUUGGGGAUGGACUCGCGGCUUAUCAGCUUGUUGGUGGGGUAGUGGCUUACCAAGGCUUUGACGGGUAGCCGGCCUGAGAGGGUGACCGGCCACAUUGGUACUGAGAUACGGCCCAGACUCCUACGGGAGGCAGCAGUGGGGAAUAUUGCACAAUGGGCGGAAGCCUGAUGCGGCAACGCCGCGUGCGGGAUGACGGCCUUCGGGUUGUAAACCGCUUUCGCCUGUGACGAAGCGUGAGUGACGGUAAUGGGUAAAGAAGCACCGGCUAACUACGUG
This 468-nucleotide ribosomal RNA is filed under the name uncultured bacterium. RNAcentral describes it as "partial 16S ribosomal RNA". It matches the Rfam family "Bacterial small subunit ribosomal RNA", at positions 28 to 507 of the family's 1533-position model. The record is from RNAcentral.